GGGGUAUUAUCUUAAUGGUAAAGAAGAGCGUUACGGCCGCUAAGAUAUGAGUUCGAAUCCCAUAUACCUUU
Transfer RNA from Colletotrichum gloeosporioides Cg-14, 71 nucleotides. It matches the Rfam family "tRNA". From Rfam's summary of the family: Transfer RNA (tRNA) molecules are approximately 80 nucleotides in length. Their secondary structure includes four short double-helical elements and three loops (D, anti-codon, and T loops). Further hydrogen bonds mediate the characteristic L-shaped molecular structure. tRNAs have two regions of fundamental functional importance: the anti-codon, which is responsible for specific mRNA codon recognition, and the 3' end, to which the tRNAs corresponding amino acid is attached (by aminoacyl-tRNA synthetases). tRNAs cope with the degeneracy of the genetic code in two manners: having more than one tRNA (with a specific anti-codon) for a particular amino acid; and 'wobble' base-pairing, i.e. permitting non-standard base-pairing at the 3rd anti-codon position. The record is from Rfam. NCBI's taxonomy places the organism in Eukaryota, Fungi, Ascomycota, Sordariomycetes, Glomerellales, Glomerellaceae.